RNAcentral lists this long non-coding RNA (579 nucleotides) under Nicotiana tabacum (common tobacco). RNAcentral's name for it is "long non-coding RNA (NTAB_LNC005925)". The record is from RNAcentral. Lineage: Eukaryota; Viridiplantae; Streptophyta; Magnoliopsida; Solanales; Solanaceae.
CUCAUCAGCGAUCAUAGCAAUAAGAGCUGAGUUGCUAGUUUUGAUAGGAGCUCGGUUAGCCAUCUGAGAGAACAAGGUUUCUGCAAUCACAUAAGAGCAGGGGGGAAAAAGCAGUUUUAAGCAAAUCUAGAAUCACAAAACAACAGCUUUGAUUCAGAAAGUAAGCAUCUUGAACAGAUUGACACAUUCAGAUGUCAAAUCAAAUCCUAAACUAUUAAUAAAACACCACCAAAAAUCAGAUGUAAACUAAAGAUUUAAACAAAUUUCAACUUCUUAAUGAUAUCAAAUAAACUAAAUAAUCAGAUCGAAAUACUCUGAAAUAACAAAAUUGAAUGGAGAAGAAGUAUUGUAGUAGUGAGUGCAACAGUUUUUAAAGCGUACUUUGAAGUAUUUAGCUUCAAUUUGAGGGAUCCAAUCUCUAGAGACGAAUCGAGGAAUGAAGAGGGAGAAGGCUGAUGCUAUUUGUGUGGAAAAGGAGGAAGUUGAAACUGAAAAGGAGGUACUGAGAGUGUCGGUUAAGCCCCAAAAGUUCCAACGUGCUCACAACUGCCCACCUUCUUAGUUUAACCCAAAGAAAGA